Long non-coding RNA from Esox lucius (northern pike), 971 nucleotides. The record is from Ensembl. NCBI's taxonomy places the organism in Eukaryota, Metazoa, Chordata, Actinopteri, Esociformes, Esocidae.
AUGAAGCUUAGAACAGAGGCUUCUAACAAGUUUGCAACUAUAUUGUCACCCUGUCUGUGUCUGGCUGCUCCUAUCUGCCUGCCUGCAAACACUGGCACGACGGAGGACAGUGUGGUGAUCGGAUCUCACGUGAGAGGCAGACUGUAGACAUCUCCUGUUCUGCCCGUUGCAGUGUUGAGCUGUUUUCCCUGGACCACCUACACAGAUCUCUGCCUCUCUGACUCCAGCCUUCAACUCUGGAUCUGUUCACUGAGUUUAUUUUUUUUAACGAAACCAGACAGAGAAGAUCUCCAUUGAGCCUGAUUUUUUCACCCCAGGACCAGGCUUAAUCUUUUUCCGCCAAACCAGCCCUGAAAAUAUAAUUGUAGGGUAGGCUUAUGCACAGACUGCUCAAACUAGAUAAUGGGGAGUGAUCUCUGUUGUGAUGGAUGCCUCAGCCUGAAUGUUCAUAAUUGUGCCAGUGCCCAGGAGGGAUGUGGAUGAUUAGGGGACGACUUGCUGCCUGGCUGGCUGUCUUUGUACACACGUUGUGUUUAUAAGGCUGUCUUUUCAGGCCAUCCCUUCCCCUAACAACGUCCUAUGUCACAGUGAAGCGCUAUAAGGGUAGAGGAAGACAAAGCCAAUGAACCUGGCCAAGAACAUCAGGGACUUAGUAAUGAAUGACUCAGAAGUGACUGUUACCUUUAGUCUGACAAGGAGCUGUGGGUGAGGUGAUUGCCCUCCCUCCUUUCACACACAUUCUUCUGCAAAAAUGAGCAUCUGCUACUGUGCUGUUCAUCGACUGUUAAUCGUUCCUUGGACCUCAGGGUGUGUCCACUGUGGUAUCCUCCCCGUGUGCAAAGAAACUUGCCAUGACCCUGGACAAACACCCUGCGGCUCUCCCCCGACUCCAUGGUGGUGACUUCCUCUCGGGCUGCGCAGCAUUUGUGGAAUGUCAAAACAACAUGGAUUUGACUGUGCCUGAAAAGAAC